UAUUGCACAAUGGGCGCAAGCCUGAUGCAGCCAUGCCGCGUGUGUGAAGAAGGCCUUCGGGUUGUAAAGCACUUUCAGUCAGGAGGAAAGGUUAGUAGUUAAUACCUGCUAGCUGUGACGUUACUGACAGAAGAAGCACCGGCUAACUCCGUGCCAGCAGCCGCGGUAAUACGGAGGGUGCGAGCGUUAUCGGAAUUACUGGGCGUAAAGCGUACGCAGGCGGUUUGUUAAGCGAGAUGUGAAAGCCCCGGGCUCAACCUGGGAACUGCAUUUCGAACUGGCAAACUAGAGUGUGAUAGAGGGUGGUAGAAUUUCAGGUGUAGCGGUGAAAUGCGUAGAGAUUUGAAGGAAUACCGAUGGCGAAGGCAGCCACCUGGGUCAACACUGACGCUCAGACGAAG
This 401-nucleotide ribosomal RNA is filed under the name uncultured bacterium. RNAcentral describes it as "bacterial SSU rRNA". It matches the Rfam family "Bacterial small subunit ribosomal RNA", at positions 362 to 758 of the family's 1533-position model. The record is from RNAcentral.